This 97-nucleotide transfer RNA is filed under the name Massilia antarctica. RNAcentral's name for it is "tRNA-OTHER". It matches the Rfam family "tRNA". From Rfam's summary of the family: Transfer RNA (tRNA) molecules are approximately 80 nucleotides in length. Their secondary structure includes four short double-helical elements and three loops (D, anti-codon, and T loops). Further hydrogen bonds mediate the characteristic L-shaped molecular structure. tRNAs have two regions of fundamental functional importance: the anti-codon, which is responsible for specific mRNA codon recognition, and the 3' end, to which the tRNAs corresponding amino acid is attached (by aminoacyl-tRNA synthetases). tRNAs cope with the degeneracy of the genetic code in two manners: having more than one tRNA (with a specific anti-codon) for a particular amino acid; and 'wobble' base-pairing, i.e. permitting non-standard base-pairing at the 3rd anti-codon position. The record is from RNAcentral. Lineage: Bacteria; Pseudomonadati; Pseudomonadota; Betaproteobacteria; Burkholderiales; Oxalobacteraceae.
GCAGUCUGUAGCUCAGAUGGUUAGAGCGCUCCUGGGCGGACUGAAAUAGUGUCUUAGCUAAUAGGAGAGGUCGCUGGUUCAAUUCCAGCCAGCUGCA